GGCUUGAUGGUCUAGUAGUAUGAUUCCUUGUUAGGGUGACCACCGCAUGUCGUGUUUAUCGAGGAGGUCCUGGGUUCAAUUCCCAGUCAAGCUC
Desarmillaria tabescens is the source of this 94-nucleotide non-coding RNA. The record is from the annotation of a RefSeq genome assembly. Lineage: Eukaryota; Fungi; Basidiomycota; Agaricomycetes; Agaricales; Physalacriaceae.